UGGGGAAUUUUGGACAAUGGGCGCAAGCCUGAUCCAGCCAUGCCGCGUGCGGGAAGAAGGCCUUCGGGUUGUAAACCGCUUUUGUCAGGGAAGAAAUCUUCUGAGUUAAUACCUCGGGAGGAUGACGGUACCUGAAGAAUAAGCACCGGCUAACUACGUGCCAGCAGCCGCGGUAAUACGUAGGGUGCAAGCGUUAAUCGGAAUUACUGGGCGUAAAGCGUGCGCAGGCGGUUUUGUAAGACAGAGGUGAAAUCCCCGGGCUCAACCUGGGAACUGCCUUUGUGACUGCAAGGCUUGAGUGCGGCAGAGGGGGGAUGGAAUUCCGCGUGUAGCAGUGAAAUGCGUAGAUAUGCGGAGGAACACCGAUGGCGAAGGCAAUCCCCUGGGCCUGCACUGACGCUCAUGCACAAAGCGUGGGGAGCAAACAGGAUUAGAUACCCUGGUAGUCCACGCCCUAAACGAUGUCAACUGGUUGUUGGG
This 480-nucleotide ribosomal RNA is filed under the name uncultured bacterium. RNAcentral's name for it is "partial 16S ribosomal RNA". It matches the Rfam family "Bacterial small subunit ribosomal RNA", at positions 355 to 827 of the family's 1533-position model. The record is from RNAcentral.